CGAUGGUACCCGAAGUCGUUUAUUCAACCCGCAAGGGAGACGGACGCCCAAGGUACGAUGGAUGACUAGGAUGAAGUCGUAACAAGGUAGCCGUAGGUGAACCUGCAGAAGGAUCA
Molecule: ribosomal RNA, 116 nt
Filed under: uncultured eukaryote
Lineage: Eukaryota
Description: partial small subunit ribosomal RNA
Rfam family: Bacterial small subunit ribosomal RNA
Source: RNAcentral